RNAcentral lists this ribosomal RNA (377 nucleotides) under uncultured delta proteobacterium. Its description in RNAcentral is "bacterial SSU rRNA". It matches the Rfam family "Bacterial small subunit ribosomal RNA", at positions 365 to 735 of the family's 1533-position model. Lineage: Bacteria; Deltaproteobacteria. The record is from RNAcentral.
UGGGCAAUGGGCGAAAGCCUGACCCAGCCACGCCGCGUGUGUGAUGAAGGCUUCGGGUCGUAAAGCACUGUGGGGAGAGACGAAACAGCGCGCCAGGAAAUGGGUGCGCCUUGACGGUACCUCCUUAGCAAGCACCGGCUAACUCUGUGCCAGCAGCCGCGGUAAUACAGAGGGUGCAAACGUUGCUCGGAUUUACUGGGCGUAAAGCGCGUGUAGGCGGACUCGCAAGUCGGUUGUGAAAUCCCUGGGCUCAACCUAGGAACUGCAUCCGAAACUGCUUGUCUUGAGUAAUGGAGAGGGUGGCGGAAUUCCCGGUGUAGAGGUGAAAUUCGUAGAUAUCGGGAGGAACAUCAGUGGCGAAGGCGGCCACCUGGACA